This is a long non-coding RNA of Diceros bicornis minor, 564 nucleotides long. RefSeq lists it as uncharacterized. The record is from RefSeq and is a predicted model, not a curated record. The transcript has 3 exons. Lineage: Eukaryota; Metazoa; Chordata; Mammalia; Perissodactyla; Rhinocerotidae.
UAGGUUUGACUCCAAAGAAGCACGUGUAUGUGUGGACAAUGCUAUAAGAUGAAACAAGGUAUGGGUGAGCUCUUGAACCCUAUCAAGCACUGAAGAUGACAAGUUUCUCUGCCAUAAGACUUGGAUCUGGGCUUUCCUCUUCCCACCUGCCUGAUUGAAGCACCAUCACUCAGAACCAGGAAGCAAGGACAUUUUCUCUCCGAGAACCAGCUCACGUGCCUCUCCCAACAACAGAUGGAGAUCUUUCUUUGGAGAGCUAGCUUGGCCAGUGGAAAGGACACAGGCUUUGGAAUCAGAACACCUGGUGUGAGUCCUGCCUCUACCACAAGCUGAAUGGAUAACUUUCUUUUCUUGAAACUCAUUUUUUAAAAAAUCUGUAAGACAAGACUUAAAACAACAAACUUACCUCUCAGACUUAUUAUGAUUAUCAAGUGAGGUAAUGUAUAUGAAAGUCCUUUUCAAACUUUAAAAUGCCAUUCCAUUGUAAGAGAUUACUUAGAACCGUGUCUGGCAUAUAAUAUAUACCAUAAAAGUGUCUGUUAAAUUGAAAAAUAAAAAUAAUUG